This 492-nucleotide ribosomal RNA is filed under the name uncultured bacterium. RNAcentral's name for it is "partial 16S ribosomal RNA". It matches the Rfam family "Bacterial small subunit ribosomal RNA", at positions 29 to 507 of the family's 1533-position model. The record is from RNAcentral.
AGUGAACGCUGGCGGUAGGCCUAACACUUGCAAGUCGAACGGCAGCACAGUAAGAGCUUGCUCUUACGGGUGGCGAGUGGCGGACGGGUGAGGAAUACAUCGGAAUCUACUUUUUCGUGGGGGAUAACGUAGGGAAACUUACGCUAAUACCGCAUACGACCUACGGGUGAAAGCAGGGGAUCUUCGGACCUUGCGCGAUUGAAUGAGCCGAUGUCGGAUUAGCUAGUUGGCGGGGUAAAGGCCCACCAAGGCGACGAUCCGUAGCUGGUCUGAGAGGGUGAUCAGCCACACUGGAACUGAGACACGGUCCAGACUCCUACGGGAGGCAGCAGUGGGGAAUAUUGGACAAUGGGCGCAAGCCUGAUCCAGCCAUACCGCGUGGGUGAAGAAGGCCUUCGGGUUGUAAAGCCCUUUUGUUGGGAAAGAAAAGCAGCAGGUUAAUACCCCGCUGUUCUGACGGUACCCAAAGAAUAAGCACCGGCUAACUUCGUG